AUACGGAGGGGGUUAGCGUUGUUCGGAAUUACUGGGCGAAAAGCGCACGUAGGCGGACUGGAAAGUUGGGGGUGAAAUCCCGGGGCUCAACCCCGGAACUGCCUCCAAAACUUCCAAUCUAGAGAUCGAGAGAGGUGAGUGGAAUUCCAAGUGUAGAGGUGAAAUUCGUAGAUAUUUGGAGGAACACCAGUGGCGAAGGCGGCUCACUGGCUCGAUACUGACGCUGAGGUGCGAAAGCGUGGGUAGCAAACAGGAUUAGAAACCCCGGUAGUCC
Molecule: ribosomal RNA, 274 nt
Filed under: uncultured bacterium
Lineage: Bacteria
Description: partial 16S ribosomal RNA
Rfam family: Bacterial small subunit ribosomal RNA
Source: RNAcentral